This is a long non-coding RNA of Vidua chalybeata, 1388 nucleotides long. RefSeq lists it as uncharacterized. The record is from RefSeq and is a predicted model, not a curated record. NCBI's taxonomy places the organism in Eukaryota, Metazoa, Chordata, Aves, Passeriformes, Viduidae. The transcript is spliced from 2 exons.
CCAGGUCCAGAUGGAGGAGCCAAACAUCUCACAAGGACUAUGCAACGCCCAAAAGCAUCUGUUUUUCAAAUGAAACCAGCACAAAUCCAUGCAUGGGACGGAGAUUCCAGAUACAAAACUCCUCAGGCUGUUCCUUUGGCUUGCUGUCCACACUGGUGCAUGGCACAGGCUGCUGACCACCCCCUGCAGCCAUCCUGGCACAGUGGGCAGUGGAAUGGACUGCCAGGCACGCCAGGAGAGCCACUCUGCUUGCACACCACAGGCACAUGCUCCCAAAGGUGUGUGUUCACGUGCAGCUGAGCAGGGCUUGACACACUGACACUCAUCCCAACCUCCCAUGAUUUGGAAAUUAUCUUUGGAGCAGGGAGGAAAGCAGGGGGGGAAAUCCAGCCAGAAGUGUUUGUGCUGUGGCAACAUGAACAACGCAAAUAUUUCAGCUUUUAAAUAUGCUUGGAAUGACAGAGAAUGCCAACACAUCCCUCAUCUUCCCAGAAAUAACUUUGAAUCAUUGCUCCCCUAACGUAAAUUCCCCACCCCACCAAAUAGUUUUUUUUUUUUGCAACCAGAUUUUUAUCAGGCACAAGGCGACAGUGUGAGCAAGCACAUGGCAGAUGGGUGGGUGUCAAACACGUCACAGCAGGAUCCUCCUUGACUCCACAACCCCAGCUCCACUCGAGCUGCUGGACUCAACAACCCCACGCCACUCACUCCUGAUGGGCACCCAGCUCCACUGGCUCAGCUUCAGAGGGAGAGCCCAGCUGCAAGGAGAGUUAACAAGAACUGCUGUGCUCUGCAGGGGAAGGAGGACAAAAGCAGGAAAGACGUAGGGCUGGUCAAGACAGGCACUGGCACAGGUCUCUGCAUCUCACUUGGGUUCUGGAUAACUGGGAUGGAGCAAGAGGGUGCUGGCAGCAUUGGUGCGUCCCCUGUGCAUUGGUGCUACCACAGCUCCACAGGAUCCCUCCACCUGGGCGUCCUGCAGGGCUUGCUGGCAGCCAGCCCCUCCACACCAGAUGUGGGCACAGCCACAGCUGGCCAAGGAAGCAUCUCCCCCUCUCCCAGCAGAGAUGCACGGCUGGGCAAACCAGACCCGCGCUGUCUCUCGGUCCUCGCUCGCGGACAUUCCGCAAAAGCCCAAGAAACAAGCCCGGAGCUCUUUUGCUCAAGUGAAAAACAGCCUCCCGUGGGGAAGGGAGAGCCCAGAGUGAUCCUGCUGCAAACUCUCAGGCUAUGGGAGGACACACAUCCAGGGACGGCCGACGCUCACAGCUUGUUCCAUUCUCCAGCCCCUCUGCGCUAUUGUUCCACAGCAAUAAAUCACGGGGAGGCGCUGGAAUUCCGGGCUGUUUCCUACGGGAGGGAGCCUGGGGUGCCGGAACCGAGCUGCU